Molecule: ribosomal RNA, 1036 nt
Filed under: uncultured bacterium
Lineage: Bacteria
Description: bacterial SSU rRNA
Rfam family: Bacterial small subunit ribosomal RNA
Source: RNAcentral
GGACUGAGACACGCCAGACUCUACGGGAGGCAGCAGUGGGAAUUUGGACAAUGGGGGAAACCUGAUCCAGCCAUCCCGCGUGUGCGAUGAAGGCCUUCGGGUUGUAAAGCACUUUGUCAGGGAAGAAAAGGUUUCGGAUAAUACCCGGAACUGACGACGGUACCUGAAGAAUAAGCACCGGCUAACUACGUGCCAGCAGCCGCGGUAAUACGUAGGGUGCAAGCGUUAAUCGGAAUUACUGGGCAUAAAGCGUGCGCAGGCGGUUCGGAAAGAAAGAUGUGAAAUCCCAGGGCUCAACCUUGGAACUGCAUUUUUAACUACCGGACUAGAGUAUGUCAGAGGGGGGUGGAAUUCCACGUGUAGCAGUGAAAUGCGUAGAUAUGUGGAGGAACACCGAUGGCGAAGGCAGCCCCCUGGGAUAAUACUGACGCUCAUGCACGAAAGCGUGGGGAGCAAACAGGAUUAGAUACCCUGGUAGUCCACGCCCUAAACGAUGUCAACUAGCUGUUGGGCCCUUCGGGGCUUAGUAGCGCAGCUAACGCGUGAAGUUGACCGCCUGGGGAGUACGGUCGCAAGAUUAAAACUCAAAGGAAUUGACGGGGACCCGCACAAGCGGUGGAUGAUGUGGAUUAAUUCGAUGCAACGCGAAAAACCUUACCUACCCUUGACAUGUCUGGAAUCCUGAAGAGAUUUAGGAGUGCUCGCAAGAGAACCGGAACACAGGUGCUGCAUGGCUGUCGUCAGCUCGUGUCGUGAGAUGUUGGGUUAAGUCCCGCAACGAGCGCAACCCUUGUCAUUAGUUGCUACAUUUAGUUGAGCACUCUAAUGAGACUGCCGGUGACAAACCGGAGGAAGGUGGGGAUGACGUCAAGUCCUCAUGGCCCUUAUGGGUAGGGCUUCACACGUCAUACAAUGGUCGGGACAGAGGGUUGCCAAGCCGCAAGGUGGAGCCAAUCUCACAAACCCGAUCGUAGUCCGGAUUGCAGGCUGCAACUCGACUCCGUGAAGUCGGAAUCGCUAGUAAUCGGAAUCAGAA